RNAcentral lists this ribosomal RNA (405 nucleotides) under uncultured prokaryote. RNAcentral describes it as "bacterial SSU rRNA". It matches the Rfam family "Bacterial small subunit ribosomal RNA", at positions 355 to 774 of the family's 1533-position model. The record is from RNAcentral.
UGGGGAAUAUUGGGCAAUGGGCGAAAGCCUGACCCAGCAACGCCGCGUGAGGGAAGGCGGUUUUCGGAUUGUAAACCUCUGUCUUCGGUGAAGAAACAAAUGACGGUAACCGAGGAGGAAGCCACGGCUAACUACGUGCCAGCAGCCGCGGUAAUACGUAGGUGGCGAGCGUUGUCCGGAAUUAUUGGGCGUAAAGAGCGCGUAGGCGGCUUGCCAGGUCCGACGUGAAACCCCGGGGCUCAACUCCGGACGUGCAUCGGAAACCGGCUUGCUAGAGUCUGGGAGAGGAAAGUGGAAUUCCUAGUGUAGCGGUGAAAUGCGUAGAUAUUAGGAGGAACACCAGUGGCGAAGGCGACUUUCUGGACUGUAACUGACGCUGAGGCACGAAAGCGUGGGGAGCAAACA